GGGCGCUUGGUUUAGUGGUAUAAUACCUCAUUUGCAUUGAGGGGGUCGCGCGUUCGAUUCGCGCAGUGUCCA
Non-coding RNA from Arachnomyces sp. PD_36, 72 nucleotides. NCBI's taxonomy places the organism in Eukaryota, Fungi, Ascomycota, Eurotiomycetes, Onygenales, Arachnomycetaceae. The record is from the annotation of a GenBank genome assembly.